RNAcentral lists this ribosomal RNA (465 nucleotides) under uncultured bacterium. Its description in RNAcentral is "partial 16S ribosomal RNA". It matches the Rfam family "Bacterial small subunit ribosomal RNA", at positions 28 to 507 of the family's 1533-position model. The record is from RNAcentral.
GACGAACGCUGGCGGCGUGCUUAACACAUGCAAGUCGAACGGAAAGGCCCUGCUUGCGGGGUACUCGAGUGGCGAACGGGCGAGUAACACAUGGGUGAUUUGCCCUGCACUUCGGGAUAAGCCUGGGCGACUGGGUGUAAUACCGGCCAGAAGCCAUAUUUAGUGUGAUGGUUGGAUAGUUUUUUCGGUGUAGGAUGAGUUCGCUGCCUAUCUGCUUGCUGGUGGGGUAAUGGCCUACCAAGGCGGCGGCGGGUAGCCGGCCUGAGUGGGUGGACGGCCACCUUGGGACUGAGGGACGGCCCAGGUACCUACGCGAGGCAGAAGUGGGGAAGAUUGCACAAUGGGCGCAAGCCUGAUGCAGCGACGCCUCGUAGCGGAUGACGCCGUUCGGGUUGAAGACUACUUUCGCAAGGGACUAAGCUUUUUGUGACGGUACCUAGACAAGAAGCACCGGCUAACUACGUG